AUGCCUGGAGGUAUUCAGGGCCCCACGGUCUCCCUAUAUGCGGAUGACGCUGCCAUUUUUCUAUCCCCCACGACACAUGAUGUGGAAGGCCUUGCUAGCAUUCUACAGAGUUUUGGGGUAGUCUCUGGCCUCGUGACAAAUGUGACCAAGAGCUCCAUCGCCCCCAUCCAAUGCGCCAACAUUAACUUGGAGGAGAUUCUGGUGAACUUCCCAACGACUACAACCCCCUUCCCCAUUAAGUAUCUGGGGUUGCCCCUCUCCCUCGGAAGACUUAGGCGUGCGGACCUUCAACCCUACAUCGACAAAGCGGUGGCUCGUCUUAGCCCGUGGAAAGGAAAGUUCCUGAACCGUGCCGGGUGCACUGCUCUGGUUAAGUCCGUGCUCUCCUCCAUGCCAAUCUUCCUGCUGACGGCUUUAAAGGCUGACAAAGGCAUCCUUAAGGCCUUUGCGAAGAUCAGUCAUGGCAUGCUCUGGGCCUGUAAGGAGGCGGUUAGUGGAGGGAAAUGCAAAGUCAACUGGCAAAAGGUCUGCCGCCCCAAGGAGCUCGGUGGUUUGGGGGUUUUGGACCUGGAGAGGUUCUCCCGGGCCCUGAGGCUUCGCUAG
Molecule: ribosomal RNA, 603 nt
Filed under: Triticum aestivum (bread wheat)
Lineage: Eukaryota; Viridiplantae; Streptophyta; Magnoliopsida; Poales; Poaceae
Description: partial small subunit ribosomal RNA
Source: RNAcentral